This 539-nucleotide ribosomal RNA is filed under the name Bifidobacterium longum subsp. infantis. Its description in RNAcentral is "bacterial SSU rRNA". It matches the Rfam family "Bacterial small subunit ribosomal RNA", at positions 157 to 710 of the family's 1533-position model. The record is from RNAcentral. Lineage: Bacteria; Bacillati; Actinomycetota; Actinomycetes; Bifidobacteriales; Bifidobacteriaceae.
CGGGUGGUAAUGCCGGAUGCUCCAGUUGAUCGCAUGGUCUUCUGGGAAAGCUUUCGCGGUAUGGGAUGGGGUCGCGUCCUAUCAGCUUGACGGCGGGGUAACGGCCCACCGUGGCUUCGACGGGUAGCCGGCCUGAGAGGGCGACCGGCCACAUUGGGACUGAGAUACGGCCCAGACUCCUACGGGAGGCAGCAGUGGGGAAUAUUGCACAAUGGGCGCAAGCCUGAUGCAGCGACGCCGCGUGAGGGAUGGAGGCCUUCGGGUUGUAAACCUCUUUUAUCGGGGAGCAAGCGAGAGUGAGUUUACCCGUUGAAUAAGCACCGGCUAACUACGUGCCAGCAGCCGCGGUAAUACGUAGGGUGCAAGCGUUAUCCGGAAUUAUUGGGCGUAAAGGGCUCGUAGGCGGUUCGUCGCGUCCGGUGUGAAAGUCCAUCGCUUAACGGUGGAUCCGCGCCGGGUACGGGCGGGCUUGAGUGCGGUAGGGGAGACUGGAAUUCCCGGUGUAACGGUGGAAUGUGUAGAUAUCGGGAAAGAACACC